GAUGAACGCUGGCUACAGGCUUAACACAUGCAAGUCGAGGGGAAACGACGGGGAAGCUUGCUUCCCCGGGCGUCGACCGGCGCACGGGUGAGUAACGCGUAUCCAACCUGCCUCUGACUGAGGGAUAACCCGUCGAAAGUCGGCCUAAUACCUCAUGGUAUCGUCUGCGGGCAUCCAACGACGAUUAAAGAUUUCAUCGGUCAGGGAUGGGGAUGCGUCUGAUUAGCUUGUUGGCGGGGUAACGGCCCACCAAGGCUACGAUCAGUAGGGGUUCUGAGAGGAAGGUCCCCCACAUUGGAACUGAGACACGGUCCACACUGCUACGGGAGGCAGCAGUGAGGAAUAUUGGUGAAGGGGCGAGAGCCUGAACCAGCCAAGUAGCGUGCAGGAAGACGGCGCUAGGGGUUGUAACCUGCUUUUAUGCGGGGAUAAAGUGAGGGACGGGUCCCUCAUUGAAGGUACCGGAUGAAUAAGGACCGGCUAAUUCCGUG
Molecule: ribosomal RNA, 491 nt
Filed under: uncultured bacterium
Lineage: Bacteria
Description: partial 16S ribosomal RNA
Rfam family: Bacterial small subunit ribosomal RNA
Source: RNAcentral